CCUACGGGAGGCAGCAGUGAGGAAUAUUGGUCAAUGGACGAGAGUCUGAACCAGCCAAGUAGCGUGAAGGAUGACUGUCCUAUGGGUUGUAAACUUCUUUUAUAUGGGAAUAAAAUGUUCCACGUGUGGGAUUUUGUAUGUACCAUAUGAAUAAGGAUCGGCUAACUCCGUGCCAGCAGCCGCGGUAAUACGGAGGAUCCGAGCGUUAUCCGGAUUUAUUGGGUUUAAAGGGGGCGUAGGUGGAUUGUUAAGUCAGUUGUGAAAGUUUGCGGCUCAACCGUAAAAUUGCCGUUGAAACUGGCAGUCUUGAGUACAGGAGAGGUGGGCGGAAUCCGUGGUGUAGCGGUGAAAUGCUUAGAUAUCACGAAGAACUCCGAUUGCGAAGGCAGUUCACUGGACUGCAACUGACACUGAGGCUCGAAAGUGUGGGUAUCAAACAGGAUUAGAUACCCUGGUAGUC
This 460-nucleotide ribosomal RNA is filed under the name uncultured bacterium. RNAcentral's name for it is "partial 16S ribosomal RNA". It matches the Rfam family "Bacterial small subunit ribosomal RNA", at positions 338 to 795 of the family's 1533-position model. The record is from RNAcentral.